This 215-nucleotide unclassified non-coding RNA is filed under the name uncultured Agaricomycetes. Its description in RNAcentral is "sequence contains ITS1". The record is from RNAcentral. Lineage: Eukaryota; Fungi; Basidiomycota; Agaricomycetes.
AUGAAUUGUAAUGAGGGUUGAUGCUGGCAGGUCAUUUCUUGUCUGCAUGUGCUCGCUCUCAACAAUAUUUCCUUAAACACCUGUGCACCUUUGGGGGGUCUCCGAAUGAUUACUGUCUUUUGGGUGGUAUUCUUGGAUUCCCUUCCUGUUACAAAUACACAAUUUGUUUUUACAAUGUCGAACGUGCUCGUGCCGGAAGGCCUUAAUGUAUAAUA